Ailuropoda melanoleuca (giant panda) is the source of this 139-nucleotide non-coding RNA. Lineage: Eukaryota; Metazoa; Chordata; Mammalia; Carnivora; Ursidae. The record is from Rfam.
AAGACUUCACAAUGAUUUGAUAACCAUGUGCAGGAUGUUGAUCUAAGCUUCUCCCAAUUCUUCAUAACCUCCCUGGGCCAGGCGGGGCUCAAUGACCUCCUCACCAGUGGCACGGCUUCUGAGCACAUCUGAUGUCACC